RNAcentral lists this transfer RNA (58 nucleotides) under Salinicola sp. MIT1003. It matches the Rfam family "tRNA", at positions 1 to 63 of the family's 71-position model. From Rfam's summary of the family: Transfer RNA (tRNA) molecules are approximately 80 nucleotides in length. Lineage: Bacteria; Pseudomonadati; Pseudomonadota; Gammaproteobacteria; Oceanospirillales; Halomonadaceae. The record is from Rfam by way of RNAcentral.
UGGUGUAGUGGUCCAGGACACCGCCCUUUCACGGCGGUAACAGGGGUUCGAACCCCCU